This 240-nucleotide unclassified non-coding RNA is filed under the name soil metagenome. RNAcentral describes it as "partial contains 5.8S ribosomal RNA, internal transcribed spacer 2, and large subunit ribosomal RNA". The record is from RNAcentral.
AACACUGUUAACCUGCGGUACCUGCGGAAGGAUCAUUACCGAGUUUACAACUCCCAAACCCAAUGUGAACCAUACCAAACUGUUGCCUCGGCGGGGUCACGCCCCGGGUGCGUCGCAGCCCCGGAACCAGGCGCCCGCCGGAGGGACCAACCAAACUCUUUACUGUAGUCCCCUCGCGGACGUUAUUUCUUACAGCUCUGAGCAAAAAUUCAAAAUGAAUCAAAACUUUCAACAACGGAU